Molecule: transfer RNA, 73 nt
Filed under: Felis catus (domestic cat)
Lineage: Eukaryota; Metazoa; Chordata; Mammalia; Carnivora; Felidae
Description: tRNA-Lys (CTT) (tRNA-Lys-CTT-19-1)
Rfam family: tRNA
About the family: Transfer RNA (tRNA) molecules are approximately 80 nucleotides in length.
Source: Rfam by way of RNAcentral
ACCUGGCUAGCUCGGUUGGUAGAGCAUGUGACUCUUAAUCUCAGUGUCGUGAGUUUGAGCCCCACGUUGGGUG